Podarcis lilfordi (Lilford's wall lizard) is the source of this 69-nucleotide non-coding RNA. NCBI's taxonomy places the organism in Eukaryota, Metazoa, Chordata, Lepidosauria, Squamata, Lacertidae. The record is from the annotation of a GenBank genome assembly.
GGUAGCUCAGUUGGUUAGAGCGUGGUGCCGAUAAGGUCAAGGCCGCAGGUUCAAUCCCCAUUAGGGACA